GAUGAACGCUGGCGGCGUGCCUAAUACAUGCAAGUCGAGCGAACAGACGAGGAGCUUGUUUCUCUGACGUUAGCGGCGGACGGGGGAGUAACACGUGGAUAACCUCCCUAUAAGACUGGGAUAACUACGGGAAACCGGAGCUAAUACCGGGUAAUAUACUGAACCGCAUGGGUCAAUAGUGAAAUACGCUUUUGCUGUCACUUAUAGAUGUAUCCGCGCCGCAUUAGCUAGUAGGUAAGGUAACGGCUUAACAAGGCGACGAUGGGUAGCCGACCGGAGAGGGUGAUCGGCGACACUGGAACUGAGACGCGUUCCAGACUCCUACGGGAGGCAGCAGUAGGGAAUCUUCCGCAAUGGGCGAAAGCCUGACGGAGCAACGCCGCGUGAGUGAUGAAGGUCUUCGGAUCGUAAAACUCUGUUAUUAGGGAAGAACAAAUGUGUAAGUAACUAUGCACGUCUUGACGGUACCUAAUCAGAAAGCCACGGCUAACUACGUG
RNAcentral lists this ribosomal RNA (497 nucleotides) under uncultured bacterium. RNAcentral's name for it is "partial 16S ribosomal RNA". It matches the Rfam family "Bacterial small subunit ribosomal RNA", at positions 28 to 507 of the family's 1533-position model. The record is from RNAcentral.